This 311-nucleotide ribosomal RNA is filed under the name uncultured bacterium. RNAcentral describes it as "bacterial SSU rRNA". It matches the Rfam family "Bacterial small subunit ribosomal RNA", at positions 57 to 357 of the family's 1533-position model. The record is from RNAcentral.
GCAAGUCGAGCGGACUUAUUCGGAUAGCUUGCUAUUUGGAUAAGUUAGCGGCGGACGGGUGAGUAACACGUGGGUAAUCUGCCUCGUAGACUGGGAUAACAGGCCGAAAGGUUUGCUAAUACCGGAUGAGUUCAUGUUUAUGCAUAUUGACAUGAAGAAAGGGGAAACCCGCUAUGAGAUGAGCCCGCGCCCCAUUAGCUAGUUGGUAGGGUAAAAGCCUACCAAGGCGACGAUGGGUAGCCGGCCUGAGAGGGUGGACGGCCACACUGGGACUGAGACACGGCCCAGACUCCUACGGGGGGCAGCAGUAG